UUCGACUGUUUACCAAAAACAUAGCCAUUAGAAAAUAAUAAUAAUGGUGAGACCUGCUCCAUGAUUUCAAAAUAAAAUAAAUUAAAUUAAAUUAAAUAGCUGCGGUAAUCAUGACCGUACUAAGGUAGCAUAAUAAAUCGUCUAUUAAUUGUAGAAUAGAAUGAAGGUUAAACGAAAAUUCAACUGUCUCAAAAAAUAACUUUGUGAAAAUUAAAUGUGUGCUAAUAUUCACACUAAAAUAGUAAGACGAUAAGACCCUGCAAACUUUACCAAAAAUUUAUAAUAAAAAUGAACCUGUAAAUCCUAAGUUUCGUUGGGGCAACGACCUUAUAACAGUAACUAAGGUUAAAAUAAUCACUCAAUAAAAGAUAAUAAAUCGAAAAAGAUAACACCCGUUAAAAAAACCUUAACAAUUAACGCAAUAAAAUAAAAGUCUGCAGGGAUAACAGCGUAAUAUUAUU
This 461-nucleotide ribosomal RNA is filed under the name Schulzeviella sp. HURL P4-224-sp5. RNAcentral's name for it is "partial 16S ribosomal RNA". The stretch from base 1 to 234 matches the Rfam family "Archaeal large subunit ribosomal RNA", at positions 1887 to 2143 of the family's 2987-position model. The record is from RNAcentral. Lineage: Eukaryota; Metazoa; Porifera; Hexactinellida; Amphidiscosida; Pheronematidae.